GAACCGUCUCUAAGCGCA
This 18-nucleotide small nuclear RNA is filed under the name Arabidopsis thaliana (thale cress). Its description in RNAcentral is "snRNA_14456". The record is from RNAcentral. Lineage: Eukaryota; Viridiplantae; Streptophyta; Magnoliopsida; Brassicales; Brassicaceae.